GGAGUUGUGGCUCAGUGGUAGAGCGCUUGCCUAGCAUGUGUGAGGCCCUGAGUUCGAUCUCAGCACUGCA
RNAcentral lists this transfer RNA (70 nucleotides) under Marmota monax (woodchuck). RNAcentral describes it as "tRNA.Ala". The stretch from base 6 to 65 matches the Rfam family "tRNA", at positions 6 to 65 of the family's 71-position model. From Rfam's summary of the family: Transfer RNA (tRNA) molecules are approximately 80 nucleotides in length. Their secondary structure includes four short double-helical elements and three loops (D, anti-codon, and T loops). Further hydrogen bonds mediate the characteristic L-shaped molecular structure. tRNAs have two regions of fundamental functional importance: the anti-codon, which is responsible for specific mRNA codon recognition, and the 3' end, to which the tRNAs corresponding amino acid is attached (by aminoacyl-tRNA synthetases). tRNAs cope with the degeneracy of the genetic code in two manners: having more than one tRNA (with a specific anti-codon) for a particular amino acid; and 'wobble' base-pairing, i.e. permitting non-standard base-pairing at the 3rd anti-codon position. The record is from RNAcentral. Lineage: Eukaryota; Metazoa; Chordata; Mammalia; Rodentia; Sciuridae.